GACGAACGCUGGCGGCGUGCCUAAUACAUGCAAGUUGAGCGCUGAAGGCUGGUACUUGUACCAACUGGAUGAGCAGCGCACGGGUGAGUAACGCGUGGGGCAUCUGCCUUUGAGCGGGGGACAACAUUUGGAAACGAAUGCUAAUACCGCAUAAAAACUUUAAACACAAGUUUUAAGUUUGAAAGUUGCAAUUGCAUCACUCAAAGACGAUCCCGCGUUGUAUUAGCUAGUUGGUGAGGUACAGGCUCACUAAGGCGAUGAUACAUAGCCGACCUGAGAGGGUGAUCAGCCGCACUGAGACUGAGACACGGCCCAAACGCCUACAGGAGGCAGCAGUAGGGAUUCGUCAGCAAGGGGCGAAAGUCUGACCGAGCAACGCCGCGGGAGUGAAGAAGGUUUUCGGGUCGUAAAACUCGGUUGGUAGAGAAGAACGUUGGUGAGAGUGGAAAGCUCAUCAAGUGACGGUAACUACCCAGAAAGGGACGGCUAACUACGUG
Molecule: ribosomal RNA, 497 nt
Filed under: uncultured bacterium
Lineage: Bacteria
Description: partial 16S ribosomal RNA
Rfam family: Bacterial small subunit ribosomal RNA
Source: RNAcentral